Molecule: ribosomal RNA, 800 nt
Filed under: Halomonas sp.
Lineage: Bacteria; Pseudomonadati; Pseudomonadota; Gammaproteobacteria; Oceanospirillales; Halomonadaceae
Description: bacterial SSU rRNA
Rfam family: Bacterial small subunit ribosomal RNA
Source: RNAcentral
GCGGUAACAGAUCCAGCUUGCUGGAUGCUGACGAGCGGCGGACGGGUGAGUAAUGCAUAGGAAUCUGCCCGAUAGUGGGGGAUAACCUGGGGAAACCCAGGCUAAUACCGCAUACGUCCUACGGGAGAAAGGGGGCUCCGGCUCCCGCUAUGGGAUGAGCCUAUGUCGGAUUAGCUAGUUGGUGAGGUAACGGCUCACCAAGGCCACGAUCCGUAGCUGGUCUGAGAGGAUGAUCAGCCACAUCGGGACUGAGACACGGCCCGAACUCCUACGGGAGGCAGCAGUGGGGAAUAUUGGACAAUGGGGGCAACCCUGAUCCAGCCAUGCCGCGUGUGUGAAGAAGGCCCUCGGGUUGUAAAGCACUUUCAGCGAGGAAGAACGCCUAGCGGUUAAUACCCGCUAGGAAAGACAUCACUCGCAGAAGAAGCACCGGCUAACUCCGUGCCAGCAGCCGCGGUAAUACGGAGGGUGCAAGCGUUAAUCGGAAUUACUGGGCGUAAAGCGCGCGUAGGUGGCUUGAUAAGCCGGUUGUGAAAGCCCCGGGCUCAACCUGGGAACGGCAUCCGGAACUGUCAAGCUAGAGUGCAGGAGAGGAAGGUAGAAUUCCCGGUGUAGCGGUGAAAUGCGUAGAGAUCGGGAGGAAUACCAGUGGCGAAGGCGGCCUUCUGGACUGACACUGACACUGAGGUGCGAAAGCGUGGGUAGCAAACAGGAUUAGAUACCCUGGUAGUCCACGCCGUAAACGAUGUCGACCAGCCGUUGGGUGCCUAGCGCACUUUGUGGCGAAGUUAACGCGAUAA